Molecule: transfer-messenger RNA, 191 nt
Filed under: Paraglaciecola sp.
Lineage: Bacteria; Pseudomonadati; Pseudomonadota; Gammaproteobacteria; Alteromonadales; Alteromonadaceae
Description: partial transfer-messenger RNA
Rfam family: transfer-messenger RNA
About the family: Bacterial tmRNA, also known as 10Sa RNA or SsrA, is named for its dual tRNA and mRNA-like properties. Its role is to liberate the mRNA from a stalled ribosome. To accomplish this part of the tmRNA is used as a reading frame that ends in a translation stop signal.
Source: RNAcentral
GAUUCGGAAGGUCAUCCAAGUAGGAUAGCGAGGGAACCUUGUCUAAGGGUGUACCGCGAAAUAGUAUUAGGCCCGCUAUGAGAAAUCCUGUUUGUCGGAGUUCGAAUUAGUUAAAUAAAAGACAAAAUAAGCAUGUAGUACCGAUGGUUGACGUGUUCUGGACGCGGGUUCGAGUCCCGCCAGCUCCACCA